This 520-nucleotide non-coding RNA is filed under the name uncultured Glomus. Its description in RNAcentral is "SSU rRNA". It matches the Rfam family "Eukaryotic small subunit ribosomal RNA", at positions 569 to 1091 of the family's 1831-position model. RNAcentral also lists the same sequence under 2 other names. The record is from RNAcentral. Lineage: Eukaryota; Fungi; Glomeromycota; Glomeromycetes; Glomerales; Glomeraceae.
AGCAGCCGCGGUAAUUCCAGCUCCAAUAGCGUAUAUUAAAGUUGUUGCAGUUAAAAAGCUCGUAGUUGAAUUUCGGGAUCAAGGAAUCGGUCAUGCCUCGGUAUGUACUGGUUUUAUUGGUUCUCACCUUCUAAAGAACCAUGAUGUCAUUCAUUUGAUGUUAUGGGGAAUUAGGACUGUUACCUUGAAAAAAUUAGAGUGUUUAAAGCAGGCUUACGCUUGAAUACAUUAGCAUGGAAUAAUGAAAUAGGACAUCAGAUUCUAUUUUGUUGGUUUCUAGGAUCGAUGUAAUGAUUAAUAGGGAUAGUUGGGGGCAUUAGUAUUCAAUUGUCAGAGGUGAAAUUCUUGGAUUUAUUGAAGACUAACUACUGCGAAAGCAUUUGCCAAGGAUGUUUUCAUUAAUCAAGAACGAAAGUUAGGGGAUCGAAGACGAUCAGAUACCGUCGUAGUCUUAACCAUAAACUAUGCCGACUAGGGAUCGGAUGAUGUUAAUUUUUUAAUGACUCAUUCGGCGCCUUAC